Molecule: ribosomal RNA, 253 nt
Filed under: uncultured bacterium
Lineage: Bacteria
Description: partial 16S ribosomal RNA
Rfam family: Bacterial small subunit ribosomal RNA
Source: RNAcentral
GACGAACCGUGCAAACGUUGUUCGGAAUCACUGGGCUUAAAGGGUGCGUAGGCGGGUUCCCAAGUCGGUGGUGAAAUCUUUCGGCCCAACCGGAAAAGUGCCGCCGAUACUGGGAGUCUCGAGGAGGUAGGGGUCGAUGGAACUUCCGGUGGAGCGGUGAAAUGCGUAGAUAUCGGAAGGAACGCCGGUGGCGAAAGCGAUCGACUGGACCUCUUCUGACGCUGAGGCGCGAAAGCCAGGGGAGCAAAGCGGG